RNAcentral lists this ribosomal RNA (254 nucleotides) under uncultured bacterium. Its description in RNAcentral is "partial 16S ribosomal RNA". It matches the Rfam family "Bacterial small subunit ribosomal RNA", at positions 524 to 776 of the family's 1533-position model. The record is from RNAcentral.
UACGGAGGGUGCGAGCGUUGUCCGGAAUCAUUGGGCGUAAAGGGCGCGUAGGUGGCCCGGUCAGUUCGUGGUGAAAGCGCGGGGCUCAACCCUGCGUCGGCCAUGAAUACUGCCGCGGCUGGAGCACUGUAGAGGCAGGCGGAAUUCCGGGUGUAGCGGUGAAAUGCGCAGAUAUCAGGAGGAACACCGGUGGCGAAGGCGGAUCUCUGGGCCAUUACUGACGCUGAGGAGCGAAAGCGUGGGGAGCGAACAGG